Molecule: long non-coding RNA, 606 nt
Filed under: Chrysolophus pictus (golden pheasant)
Lineage: Eukaryota; Metazoa; Chordata; Aves; Galliformes; Phasianidae
Description: lncRNA (ENSCPIG00010010554.1)
Source: RNAcentral
GUGGCUGCUAUCCCAAAGUCGUGUGGUGGAUGCUCUAAAGAAGCUUAAAGCAUCAGUUUUGGAAGAUACCUGUCUAGCAGCAGACAGAUUGGCAGUGCUAAAGGCUUCAGUAGAAGAUAUGAAGAAGUCUUUCACUGCUAGAUUUUAUCAUGCAAUGCACUGCUUGAAAAGCCUCAAGAAAAAACAAGAAAUAGCUUCAAAUGUCAAGAGUAAUGGUGGGAAUCUGGGUAUGAUCAAAUAUCCGGGCACAGAGAUGUGGAUCCCUAAAGUGUUUGGAAUGAAAAUCCCAGAUCCCGGAGGGUCCAGUUUGAUGGUGCCAAUUCUGGGAAUAGACUUUGACUGCAAUAACAGGCAGCCUUCCCCACUCGCAGGGACCAUGGAAGAUGGAAAUGGAAAAGGCCUUGUCCCUAUCGCUAUUGGUGCCAGAACCAUAAGUCCAAUUACAGGUGAAAUUGGACCUGUUAUCGGUGCUCAAACCCACCCCCAGACACACAACGUAAUUCCUGUUGUUCAGUCCUUCAGAGCUUUACCAAGAGCCACGGAUUCAGAGCUGCUGGACCUCCUAGAGAAGGAAAUAAAUUCAAGGCAAAUAUACUGGCACUGCAG